Ictalurus furcatus (blue catfish) is the source of this 3335-nucleotide long non-coding RNA. RefSeq lists it as uncharacterized. NCBI's taxonomy places the organism in Eukaryota, Metazoa, Chordata, Actinopteri, Siluriformes, Ictaluridae. The transcript is spliced from 3 exons. The record is from RefSeq and is a predicted model, not a curated record.
UUCCUGCAAAAAAUAAAAAUAAUAAUAAUAAUAAUAAUAAUAAAAAAUCAACAACAGGAACAGAUAUACUAGUAAUUUUACACUGAUAAUGGAAUUACACACACAAAAGAUUAAAUUACAAAUCAACAUGCAACUUAAUACGGUAACAGAUUUCCAGCAGAUUUGUAAUUUUAUCUGAAUAUCGUGGAAAAAUUUAUUUUUUGAAAUGAUCCAAAUGAAAGUUACUUUCAUCGCAAAAGAGGACUUUAGACCACUGAGCAACAGUCCAGUUCUUUUGAAAGUCUCAGGAAACCUUCCCAGGAAACCUCAGGUGUUUUGAGUUAAUUAACUGAUUAGAGCGACAUCAGGUUGACAUUUCUGUAUUAUAAAUUCUUUAUUCUAAUAUUCUGAGGUACUGGAUUUUUGAUUUCCAUCAGCUGUAAGCCGUAAUCAUCGAGAUUAAAACAAAACAAAACAAAAAAAACGUUUGAAAUAUUUCACUUUAUGUGUAAUGACUCUAGAAUAUAUUAAAGUUCCACUUUUUUAAUUAAAUUACGAGGGGGAAAAAAACCCUAACUUUUCCACGAUAUUCAAAUUUUUUGAGAUGCACCUGUACAUCCGUAACAUUAAUACUUUUCAAAAUUUAACAUGUUGUUUUUUCAUGUAUGGUGACUCAAUAAAAUAAAUGGAUAACACUUGUAAUAUUAAACAUAUGCUGUAGUAGAUACGGGGCGCAUGGUGGCUUAGUGGUUAGCACGUUUCCCCUCACGCCUCCAGGGUCGGGGGUGUGAUUCCCACUGUGGCCCUGUGUGUGGAGUUUGCAUGUCCAAAGACAUGCAUGGUAGGCUGAUUGUCGUGUCUAAAGUGUCCGUAGUGUAUGAAUGGGUGUGUGAGUGUGUAUGUGAGUGUGUUCCCUGCGAUGGAUUGGCACCCUGUCCAGGAUGUACCCCGUCUUGUGCCCUAUGCUCCCUGGGAUAGGCCCCAAGACCCUGAAGAAGUAGUAAGCGGUAGAAGAUGGAUGGAUGGAUGGAUGGAUGUAGUAGAUACUACUCAACCACACAUACACUCACUGAACACUAUUUACGUACACCUACUAAUUCAUGCAAUUACGUGGCAUCAGUGCAAUGCCCAUCAUCAUACAGAUACGGGCCAGCAGCUUCAGGUAACGUUCACGUCAACCAUCAGAAUGGAGGAAAAAAUAUGAUCUCAGGUUAUUCUGACCAUGGUGUGAUUGCUGGUGCCAGACAGGCUGGUCUGAGUAUUUCUACAACUGCUGAUCUCCUGGGAUUUUCACACACAACAGUCUCUAGAGUUUACGUAAAAUGGUGCAAUAAAGAAGCAGUAGUUCUGUGGAUGAAAACGCAAAGGAGAAUAGCCAGACUGGUUCGAACAGACAGAAAUGAUACAGCAACUCGGAUAAACACUGUAUAAUUGUAGUGAGCAGAAAACCAUCUCAGAAUGCACAACAGGUCAAACCUUGAGGCAGAUGGGCUACAACAGCAGACCAAAUAGCCUGGUCUGAUGAAUGAAAAAUCUGCAGGAUCGCGUGAUGCAGGCACAUCGACACGGACCAGAAUCUCACAGGAACGUCUCCAACAUCUGGUGGAAUCCGUUACAUGAAGAAUUGAGUGCAAAUUCUUCAUGUAACGGCCCUACCCAGUAUUACUAUAGUGUUCCUAAUAAAAUGCUCAGUGAAUGUAUAAUACACGUGACAGGAUAUGCUUCAGCUCAUUUAUUUCUAAUAAUAACCAACACAUUAUUCAAAUUUGUUUUAAAUAAAUAAAUAAAUAGAUAAAUAAAUAAAUAGCAACACACCUGAAUUAAAAUAAACUGAAAACUGUCAGAUAAAUAAUUACGUUUUCCUAAAUACUGGACAAGAAAUUCGUGAACAUGUCUAAUGUGUUUUAUACUGUAGGUCUUUAUAGAGAGAGAGAGAGAGAGAGAGAGAGAGAGAGAGAGAGGGCGGGGGCGGGAUCUUGGGCCUGAUUUCAUUGCUAAAAUAUAAAAGUAACGGUAUCGGCGGCACCGCACCAUAAUUCAAUGUCUAAUAUUUUAAAAACCGAAGCUUUUAGAGGCAGAAACGGAGCAGAAACGAUUGAGACUAUUUUGCCGACGUUUUGCGCUGGGUGCGGGGUCCACUUCACCCAGAUCAGAACCGUCCCAGGCCCACUUCACGCAGACCAGAGCCGACCCAUGCUGGUAGUCAUGAGCUGUUUUAAAAAGGAAAGCAGUGCUGUUAAUACCAAAAAACACAAUAGCCUAACUAGGGCAGAUACUUACGGAAAUAAAGGGAGUUGACGUUUAAACUAAAUGAACGAUGGAUAUGAACCGUAAUGCUAAAUCGCACCGCGUUCAUUACCGCUAAUGCUAACGAGGAGUUUUCAGCAGUUCUGCACCAUUCUGUAGUGGGGGGUGUAUGACGUGGUUAAAACGUCACCCUUAUUAACUACGUGUCCAAUGGGCUCGCUCCCUGCCACAUAUAUAAAUGGUCGUUAAGGCCUUUCCGAAGCGUCAUGGUUGAAAGCUCGCCCUGCCCCGUUUUGGUAUUAUUAUUAGUGUUUUUUAAUUUAAUUUUAGUAUUAUUAUUAUUAUUAUUAUAAUAAUUAUUUAUUUAUUUAUUUAUUAUAAAUUAUUUUUUAUUUUUUUCUCUUUUUUCCUGCCAAGCUACUGCCCACACUCCAGUCCAGUAAGUGGCGGUAAUGCACCUUUAGUGGUUUGCUAACCGCCAUUAAAAACAAAAAGAAGAAGUACCAAGUCAAUCGGGAUUAAACUUCGGUUUGUUUACUUGCGCCGGCUGUAGAUAUUUUCUCCAGUUUUGUGUCGAUUUUAACUCAUUAUUAUUAUUAUUUUUUUUUUUUUUAAAUAUAAGCUUCUGACCGGCAUAAGAAUAAAUUCAGUUAAAUUUCGGUUUUGGAAAUGAGCUAGGUUGCUAAUUAGUCGCAAAGUUGUAGUUCUAGUUAAAGUGAAUUGUGGCCUAUGCUAACGACCGCUGGCUACACGUGCAAGUCAAGUCAAGUAGCUCAUUAUUAAAAACUAAAACCGGAUGAAAACAGAGCAUGAUGAAGAUGGGCUUCUCAAACACAAUCCAAGUCACCGUCUGGCGGCAGGGCGGAGUUGUCUGGCCUCCGUGAUACUGAUAGAAUGUAUCAUCCUCAGGAAGGAGGUGCGACAAUGCCGGAGGACUCACACUUACUGAAUCCCCUGGAAAACAAAACGAGAAGACCAGUGAAUGUUGUUCCUUCUCUCAGUCCCAUGAUAAAUAGUAAAAGAUCACGACGUUACAUCAAUGAAGACUCCCAUCAUAAGCAGGCCUGACUGCACUACAGAAGCAGCUUCCACGUCAGCGAAUCCAGGAG